RNAcentral lists this ribosomal RNA (497 nucleotides) under uncultured bacterium. RNAcentral's name for it is "partial 16S ribosomal RNA". It matches the Rfam family "Bacterial small subunit ribosomal RNA", at positions 28 to 507 of the family's 1533-position model. The record is from RNAcentral.
GAUGAACGCUGGCGGCGUGCCUAAUACAUGCAAGUCGAGCGAACAGACGAGGAGCUUGCUCCUCUGACGUUAGCGGCGGACGGGUGAGUAACACGUGGAUAACCUACCUAUAAGACUGGGAUAACUUCGGGAAACCGGAGCUAAUACCGGAUAAUAUAUUGAACCGCAUGGUUCAAUAGUGAAAGACGGUUUUGCUGUCACUUAUAGAUGGAUCCGCGCCGCAUUAGCUAGUUGGUAAGGUAACGGCUUACCAAGGCAACGAUGCGUAGCCGACCUGAGAGGGUGAUCGGCCCAAAUGGAACUGAGAAACGGUCCAGAAUCCUACGGGAGGCAGCAGUAGGGAAUCUUCCGCCAUGGGCGAAAGCCUGAAGGAGCAAAGCCGCGUGAGUGAUGAAGGUCUUCGGAUCGUAAAACUCUGUUAUUAGGGAAGAACAAAUGUGUAAGUAACUAUGCACGUCUUGAAGGUAACUAAUCAGAAAGCCACGGCUAACUACGUG